RNAcentral lists this long non-coding RNA (1642 nucleotides) under Homo sapiens (human). RNAcentral describes it as "INO80D antisense RNA 1 (INO80D-AS1)". Lineage: Eukaryota; Metazoa; Chordata; Mammalia; Primates; Hominidae. The record is from RNAcentral.
ACUGACAGUCUCCUCGCUGCUCCCUACAUCUUCCUCUCCGCCGGAGCUGUCCAGAAGGGGGAUUUUGGACCCAAAGGAAUCGGGAUGAAAGGGGAUCAGAGUGAGAGGCGCUGGCAAUGGACUAGGAAGCUCGGCUGCCGCUGCUACUGCUCCCCCCUGGGCUCCGGCGAGAGCCUUUCCCUGUCAAGCAAGAGGGGUGAGGAUCAUAUUUUUAUUUUGGAAACUAAAAAGUGCUCCCAGGGUCGGUGAUUAUUAAGGGGAAAUCCCUGAAUAUACUCUCCAGCCAAGAAGGCAGGGCUGCCGGGGCUGUACAAGAAGAGGCAGCAGCCUCCUACAGCACCACUACAGGCACUGCGAGGACAUAACACCAGAGAGCUGCUCCUCUGCCCUCCGAAACGACAACUUUCCUACCAUCUUGGAGGCAGAGCAAAGGGGGGCCAGGGGGAAAAGUGCACCCGCUCCCGAUAAAGUACAAAUUUUUACUUCUCAUCUCUGGAAAAAAGUCCACACCGGCCGUCUACACCCGCGCCUGGGGGAGAAAGCAGGGAAGAAACGGGGGGUGCAUGAGAAACGUUUUCAUUUGCUCCAGGGGGAAAAAUGUUUCUGCAUCUUCUGAUGGAAAGAAAUCUUUACAAGACACAGGUUUUCCGGUGGUUAUUGUUUUUUAUUUUCUGUUUUUAAUUUUUUUCAUGUUAGUGACAGUGAUAUUUUAAUAUUUUUUUAAGCCAGUAAUAAUUUUUCUCCAUUACAGGGCUAAGUUCUGUGGCUGGUGGUCAGUUUGUAAAUUUAUACUUAAAGAGACUUAAUAGUAACUUCAUUUAUUUGUCUGGUUAUGUUAUUGUAUAUAUAAAUAUUUAUGUUUUCAUAUAUUGCAUAUAAAAAUUUGUGUUACAUGUUACUCUCAGAACAGAUUGCUGUAAGACAAUUGUAAAAAAACAUGUCUUUCGUCUGUUUCUCAAAGCAAUGUAAAUAAAACCUAUGGACUGUCCAGAAAGGCAUGAUACAGUGUGUCAUUUUCCACAGUGCAGAUAAAGGCAGCUAUCACUGGGGAUUUAAAAACGGCCCCUGUUUCUGGAAAUUCUGUUAUGCUGCCCAUACAGAAAGGAUACAGUAAAACUGGAAAGAGAUUUUAAAGACAGCCUUAGAUUUUUCUUGAGGUAAAAUAGCUUAUUAAGAAUUAUAUCCGGGCAUUUAAUUUUUUUAUUUAUUUAGAUUCUUUAAACUCUAGCUAGAUCUUUGGUGCAUUACACAUGUUGCUAUCUGCUUUUUGUGUCACAGAAUUGAGAAAUGUGGCUAUUUUUGUUAGUUAUGUUAGUUCAGAACUUCCAAUGUGCUGCCAGCCUGUAUGAUAGACUUUUUGUAUAUUGCAGUGGAUGUCAUGAAUUUACUUUUUUAAAUGAGCAAAGCUUACUAGAUAAAUGGGAUCAGAGUUAAACAAUGCUGUUAGCACAGAGGUGAGAGGGACAAAGGGUACCCAUUUACAUCGAUUCCAAUAGAACGCUUAUUGGAGGAUAAAUUGCAGAGACAUUUUUCUAUUUUUGUGAAGAAAGAGAAAAAUAAUAGAAAAAGAACCGACUAUCUUUGUAUGUUCUACUGGGGAUGAUGAUUUAAAUCUUGUAUUAAAAGUUAUUUUUCUAACACA